UACGGAGGAUGCAAGCGUUAUCCGGAUUUAUUGGGUUUAAAGGGUGCGUAGGCGGGACCAUAAGUCAGCGGUGAAAGUUUUCGGCUCAACCGGAAAAUUGCCGUUGAAACUGUGGUUCUUGAGUGCAGAAGAGGUAGGCGGAAUUCGUCGUGUAGCGGUGAAAUGCGUAGAUAUAACGAAGAACACCAAUUGCGUAGGCAGCUUACCAUACUGCAACUGACGCUGAGGCACGAAAGUGUGGGUAUCAAACAGGAUUAGAUACCCCUGUAGUCCCU
This 275-nucleotide ribosomal RNA is filed under the name uncultured prokaryote. RNAcentral's name for it is "partial 16S ribosomal RNA". It matches the Rfam family "Bacterial small subunit ribosomal RNA", at positions 524 to 798 of the family's 1533-position model. The record is from RNAcentral.